Molecule: ribosomal RNA, 422 nt
Filed under: uncultured bacterium
Lineage: Bacteria
Description: bacterial SSU rRNA
Rfam family: Bacterial small subunit ribosomal RNA
Source: RNAcentral
UAAGGAAUAUUGGACAAUGGUCGCAAGACUGAUCCAGCCAUGCCGCGUGCAGGAAGACGGGCCUAUGGGUUGUAAACUGCUUUUGUACCAGAGAAAACCUAUCUACGUGUAGAUAGCUGAUAGUAUGGUAAGAAUAAGCAUCGGCUAACUUCGUGCCAGCAGCCGCGGUAAGACGAAGGAUGCAAGCGUUAUCCGGAUUCAUUGGGUUUAAAGGGUGCGUAGGCGGGCUUGUAAGUCAGUGGUGAAAUCUCUCAGCUUAACUGAGAAACUGCCAUUGAUACUGCAGGCCUAGAGUAUAGAUGACGUUGGCGGAAUAUGACAUGUAGUGGUGAAAUACUUAGAUAUGUCAUAGAACACCGAUUGCGAAGGCAGCUAACGAAACUAUAACUGACGCUGAGGCACGAAAGUGCGGGGAUCAAACA